UUUAUCAGGAAUUCAGGAUUAAAGUUUCUUGAGAGAGCAAACAGAUCAGAAAUUUUUAAUGAUGUUAAAGUUUCUUUUUUUUAUUUUAUUUUUUAUACGAGCUUACUUGAAAAAGGAUUUGAUAAAUAUCAUUAAUGAAGUUAUUAUGAUUACUUAAUACUAAUUUUAGAAGAGAUACUGAUUAAUUCCGAGGUAUAAUGUUUUUACCCUAUUUUUACUGAAUCGGAGGUGCAGAGAAAUCACAUGGGCCAAUGGUCCCAAUUGUUAAAUGUCGAUAUCAAC
Molecule: long non-coding RNA, 282 nt
Filed under: Capsella rubella
Lineage: Eukaryota; Viridiplantae; Streptophyta; Magnoliopsida; Brassicales; Brassicaceae
Description: long non-coding RNA (CRUB_LNC004859)
Source: RNAcentral